RNAcentral lists this ribosomal RNA (451 nucleotides) under uncultured bacterium. RNAcentral's name for it is "partial 16S ribosomal RNA". It matches the Rfam family "Bacterial small subunit ribosomal RNA", at positions 29 to 523 of the family's 1533-position model. The record is from RNAcentral.
AACGAACGCUGGCGGCAGGCUUAACACAUGCAAGUCGAACGCGUGUAGCAAUACACGAGUGGCGCACGGGUGAGUAACGCGUGGAUAUCUGCCUUUUGGUUCGGAAUAACCCCGGGAAACUGGGGCUAAUACCGGAUGGUUCCUUCGGGAUAAAGAUUUAUCGCCAAAAGAUGAGUCCGCGUCCGAUUAGCUAGUUGGUGAGGUAAUGGCUCACCAAGGCGACGAUCGGUAGCUGGUCUGAGAGGACGAUCAGCCACACUGGGACUGAGACACGGCCCAGACUCCUACGGGAGGCAGCAGUGGGGAAUAUUGGACAAUGGGGGCAACCCUGAUCCAGCCAUGCCGCGUGAGUGAUGAAGGCCUUCGGGUUGUAAAGCUCUUUUGGCGGGGACGAUGGUGACGGUACCCGCAGAAUAAGCCCCGGCUAACUUCGUGCCAGCCGCCGCGGUAA